Molecule: ribosomal RNA, 792 nt
Filed under: uncultured bacterium
Lineage: Bacteria
Description: bacterial SSU rRNA
Rfam family: Bacterial small subunit ribosomal RNA
Source: RNAcentral
UAGAGUUUGAUCAUGGCUCAGGAUGAACGCUGGCGGCGUGCUUAACACAUGCAAGUCGAACGGGAAUGCCACGCUGAUGCGAUUUCGGUCAAAUCAUGUGGCAUUCGAGUGGCGGACGGGUGAGUAACGCGUGGGUAACCUGCCUUACACAGGGGGAUAACACCUGGAAACAGGUGCUAAUACCGCAUAAGCGCACAGGGCCGCAUGGCCCGGUGUGAAAAACUCCGGUGGUGUAAGAUGGACCCGCGUCUGAUUAGCUUGUUGGCGGGGUAGGGGCCCACCAAGGCGACGAUCAGUAGCCGGCCUGAGAGGGUGGACGGCCACAUUGGGACUGAGACACGGCCCAAACUCCUACGGGAGGCAGCAGUGGGGGAUAUUGGACAAUGGGGGAAACCCUGAUCCAGCGACGCCGCGUGAGUGAAGAAGUAUUUCGGUAUGUAAAGCUCUGUCAGCAGGGAAGAAAGAAAUGACGGUACCUGACCAAGAAGCCCCGGCUAACUACGUGCCAGCAGCCGCGGUAAUACGUAGGGGGCAAGCGUUAUCCGGAAUUACUGGGUGUAAAGGGAGCGUAGACGGUGAUGCAAGUCUGGAGUGAAAGGCGGGGGCCCAACCCCCGGACUGCUCUGGAAACUGUGUAACUUGAGUGCAGGAGAGGUAAGCGGAAUUCCUAGUGUAGCGGUGAAAUGCGUAGAUAUUAGGAGGAACACCGGUGGCGAAGGCGGCUUGCUGGACGGUAACUGACGUUGAGGCUCGAAAGCGUGGGGAGCAAACAGGAUUAGAUACCCUGGUAGU